Non-coding RNA from Gossypium hirsutum (cotton), 145 nucleotides. The record is from Rfam. NCBI's taxonomy places the organism in Eukaryota, Viridiplantae, Streptophyta, Magnoliopsida, Malvales, Malvaceae.
UGUUAAAAAUUUCAUCAAUGUUUAUUGUUAAAAAUUGACGUGAUUGAUGAAAUAACCAAACAAUUACACAUAGCAUGCUACGUACACCUCAUGCCGGCGUACAGGAGCCAAGUUUUAACAAUAGAAUUGGAUGAAAUUUUUAAUA